RNAcentral lists this microRNA (21 nucleotides) under Populus trichocarpa (black cottonwood). RNAcentral describes it as "ptc-miR6421-3p". Lineage: Eukaryota; Viridiplantae; Streptophyta; Magnoliopsida; Malpighiales; Salicaceae. The record is from miRBase by way of RNAcentral.
UAGAGCAGAUUGUAAGGGAAG